GAGCAGGAAGUCGUUCAGACUCUUCCCUU
Molecule: small RNA, 29 nt
Filed under: Bombyx mori (domestic silkworm)
Lineage: Eukaryota; Metazoa; Arthropoda; Insecta; Lepidoptera; Bombycidae
Description: ovarian small RNA-15751
Source: RNAcentral